UUUAGAUUAAGCCAUGCAUGUGUAAGUAUAACUAAUCGACUUUGAAACUGCGAAUGGCUCAUUAUAUCAGUUAUAGUUUAUUUGGUGAAGGAUACUAAUUGGAUAACCGUAGUAAUUCUAGGGCUAAUACAUGAGUAAAGUCCCAUUGGGAUGUGUUUAUUAGAAUGAAAACCAUAUGCUUCGGCAUGAUAGUGAGUAAUAGUAACCUAUCGUAUCGCAUGCUUAAAGUAGCGAUGAGUCUUUCAAGUUUCUGCCCUAUCAGCUUUCGAUGGUAGCAUAUGGGUCUACCAUG
This 292-nucleotide ribosomal RNA is filed under the name Blastocystis sp. RNAcentral describes it as "partial small subunit ribosomal RNA". It matches the Rfam family "Eukaryotic small subunit ribosomal RNA", at positions 41 to 348 of the family's 1831-position model. Lineage: Eukaryota; Bigyra; Opalinata; Blastocystidae. The record is from RNAcentral.